Long non-coding RNA from Gossypium arboreum, 1531 nucleotides. RefSeq lists it as uncharacterized. Lineage: Eukaryota; Viridiplantae; Streptophyta; Magnoliopsida; Malvales; Malvaceae. The transcript is spliced from 2 exons. The record is from RefSeq and is a predicted model, not a curated record.
ACAUGAUGUAAGUAUAAAAAAAGAACAUAAACAUAAGAUAGAAGAGAAUCCCAUCUUUGCUGUCCAGGGAGUUCACCUCCCUUCCUUCUGUUGCGCUUCACUUCUGGAGGGUCCUUCUAAACCAAGUUUGUCAUUGGUUAAAGUUGAAAUACUUUCAGCCAAUUGAACCAUAUAAUCUUUUAGCAACACACGUUGGCUACCAUUGGUUUUGAAACUGCUGCUGCUACUAGAAUGCACUUUAUUUAACUUUUUUGUGAUACCUCUAUCCCUAGAUUUAACACCUCUUCCCCGACCGGAAAACACCACCUGAUUCAAGAUCAGAUUGGUCUUUAAAGGAGAGGUAUUGUUGUUUUUUUUUUUUUUCCCGGAAGAUCACCGCCGAGUGUCUGUCGUAGUCGACGCUCCUCACCUUCCACCAGUUCGUCAGUCGAGGUGCGGAAAGGUUCACCGAAGGCCUAUCAUUUUUAAGGAGCAAAACCCCCAAUUUCUUGGCCACACGAAUCUCCUAUCGCCGUCCGGUUUCCAGUGCUGUUGAUUGCGCCAGCAAGCAGAUUUUGGGCCACCGUUCCUUGCCUUAAUUGGUCCAAUAAGGAUCAGGCUUGAGUAGACGAAGAGCCACCAAGGCCCAAACUGUUAGAUCUCUCUUUAGUUGGAAUAAGACUCCCUACUCGACUUUUAUUAACCAAGCUGGAUCCCACACUCGGCCCAGCGUUAUCAGAUCCUUUAAUAAUCGAAUUUAAUCCAUUUUUAGGGCUCAACUCUUUAGACUUCCCUUUGUUCUUUGAAUCCAUUGCCAGCCGACCGUUAUGGUAAUAGCAAUUUUCCUUACUUUGUUGAUUUUCAAUGAGAAUUUCUUUCCCUUAUUGCGUCAAUGAUCUGUUAUAUCUCUUUCAGUUUAUUCUUGAUUCAAAUUCCUAUUUUUUAGGGCAUUAAAACGAGAACCUUCAUUCUGCCUCUCCUGAUUUCCGUAAGAGUGCUGCAAAUUAUUCCUGAAUUUUCACCUUGGUCUCCUUUCUACGAUCGUCCACGGCUUGUAAUUUUCGUCUUUCUCCACCUGUCAGUCCUCGACCAAGCUGUGAUUUUCUGGUAUCAUUUCGGGCAGAGCUGUUUCCUUUUCCACGUUGAUUCCAGCACACCUAAAGGAGCAAUUAUCAUUCACAUGACCAUACCUCCCACAGUGAAAGACAUUUGUCGUGGUUUUGCAAAUUGUCUGCUAAGCUGAGAUGCGAAGAUAUUGCAAGAGAAGUUGACAAAAAAGGUGACAUAGGCGAUGACCGGAGGAAACAAUCAGAGUGAAAGGGUAAAAAGUAAAAACAAUAAAUAAUAGUGGAAAGAUGAUGGGGAUGAGAUGAUUUUAGAUUACAUGAUAAAGAAGAUAGUGUUUUAUUAUAUUAAUUAGAUCUGGAAAAUCGAAUAUUUGUCUAUUAUUUUAACAAUUACUUGGUGUGCAUUUAUUUUAAGUGGUUUGCAAUGGAAUUUGAUUUCCUCUUUAGUAGCAUUAUUUAAUUAAUUGCCUUUCAAAUUCUAAAAA